RNAcentral lists this ribosomal RNA (783 nucleotides) under Triticum aestivum (bread wheat). RNAcentral describes it as "partial small subunit ribosomal RNA". Lineage: Eukaryota; Viridiplantae; Streptophyta; Magnoliopsida; Poales; Poaceae. The record is from RNAcentral.
AUGGGGAGGAAGAGGCUCACCUGGUCGCCAUCAACGUCCAAAGAAGAAGCCGGAGAGUCGUGCAGCACGCCGUGCUCGACAGUGGCCAGCAAGGGCCACUGUGUCGUGUACACUGCCGAUGGUGUAAGGUUCGAGGUGCCUCUUGCGUUCCUCGGAACGACCGUCUUCGGCGAGCUCUUGAGGAUAUCCCAAGAGGAGUUCGGCUUCUCAGGCAUUGACGGUGGCAGAAUCACGCUGCCCUGUGACGCAUCGGUGAUGGAGUAUGCCAUGUGCUUGCUAAGGAGAAGCGCCUCCGCAGAGAUGGAGCCAGAAACACAAGAAACUACCAUGACGAGUGCCAAGACACUUGCUCGGCUGGCCAAGAAGUGGCAGAGGGUGGCGGCUAUGGGAAGGAAGAGGCUCACCUGGUCGCCAUCAACGUCCAAAGAAGAAGCCGGAGAGUCGUGCAGCACGCCGUGCUCGACAGCGGCCGGCAAGGGCCACUGCGUCGUGUACACUGCCGAUGGUGUAAGGUUCGAGGUGCCUCUUACGUUCCUCGGAACGACCGUCUUCAGCGAGCUCUUGAGGAUAUCCCAAGAGGAGUUUGGCUUCACAGGUGUUGACGGUGGCAGAAUCACUCUGCCCUGCGACGCAUCGGUGAUGGAGUAUGCCAUGUGCUUGCUCAGGAGAAGCGCCUCCACAGAGAUGGAGGCCGCGUUUCUCAACACCAUGGUGAUGCCAUGCCACUAUCAUGUGGCGCCACAUCUGGGAGUUGGCCAGCGAUUCGGUGUAUGCAGCUCCUGA